AGUCAUAUGCUUGUCUCAAAGAUUAAGCCAUGCAUGUCUAAGUACAGGCUUGUGCAAAGUGAAACUGCGAAUGGCUCAUUAAAUCAGUUGUGGUUCCUCAGAUCGUUUUACAGUUUGGAUAACUGUGGCAAUUCUAGAGCUAAUACAUGCGAACAGUCUCUGCCCUGCAAGGGGAGGAGCGCUUUUAUUAGACCAAAACUAACGGGUCUGGCUUCGCGGCCGGGCUCAACGAUUGUGGUGACUCUGGAUAACUUUGUGCCGAUCGCACGGCCACUGCGCCGGCGACAGAUCUUUCAAAUGUCUGCCCUAUCAAUUGUCGAAGGUAAGCGAUAUGCCUACCUUGAUGGUAACGGGUAACGGAGAAUAAGGGUUCGACUCCGGAGAGGGAGCAUGAGAAACGGCUACCACAUCCAAGGAAGGCAGCAGGCGCGCAAAUUACCCACUCCUGACACGGGGAGGUAGUGACGAAAACUAACAAUACGGGACUCUUAUGAGGCCCCGUAAUUGGAAUGAGUACACUUUAAAUCCUUUAACGAGGAUCUACUGGAGGGCUGGGGCCUGCGGCUUAAUUUGACUCAACGCGGGAAUCUUACAAGGUCAGGACAGCGUAAGGAUUGACAGAUUGAGAGCUCUUUCUUGAUUCGGUGGAUGGUGGUGCAUGGCCGUUCUUAGUUGGUGGAGCGAUUUGUCUGGUUAAUUCCGAUAACGAACGAGACUCUAGCCUACUAAAUAGUGUGCCGGUGCGUUUGCUCGCCGGCAAUCACUUCUUAGAGGGACAAGUGGCGCUUAGCCACACGAGAUUGAGCAAUAACAGGUCUGUGAUGCCCUUAGAUGUCCUUGGCCGCACGCGCGCCACACUGAAAGAAUCAGCAUGUGCUGAUCCUGGUCCGAAAGGGCCGGGUAAUCGUAUGAAUCUCUUUCGUGCUAGGGAUUGGGGCUUGUAAUUGUUGCCCAUGAACGAGGAAUACCUAGUAAGCACGAGUCAUUAGCUCGUGUUGAUUGCGUCCCUGCCAUUUGUACACACCGCCCGUCGCUACUACCGAUUGAACGGUUUAGUGAGACCCUCGGAUUCGUCCCGGCGCGCGGCGAUACGCUGAUUGCGCCGCGGUCGCGGAGAAGACGGUCGAACUUGAUCAUUUA
This 1140-nucleotide ribosomal RNA is filed under the name Myrianida paredesi. RNAcentral's name for it is "partial 18S ribosomal RNA". It matches the Rfam family "Eukaryotic small subunit ribosomal RNA". Lineage: Eukaryota; Metazoa; Annelida; Polychaeta; Phyllodocida; Syllidae. The record is from RNAcentral.